This is a non-coding RNA of Myotis lucifugus (little brown bat), 70 nucleotides long. The record is from Rfam. NCBI's taxonomy places the organism in Eukaryota, Metazoa, Chordata, Mammalia, Chiroptera, Vespertilionidae.
GGUGGUUCUUGGGUGACGCACCCCGGAAUCAGCCUCCUUUCUCUCUGGUUCCAGGUACCUGAGAACCGCA